This 57-nucleotide transfer RNA is filed under the name Schistocephalus solidus. It matches the Rfam family "tRNA". From Rfam's summary of the family: Transfer RNA (tRNA) molecules are approximately 80 nucleotides in length. Their secondary structure includes four short double-helical elements and three loops (D, anti-codon, and T loops). Lineage: Eukaryota; Metazoa; Platyhelminthes; Cestoda; Diphyllobothriidea; Diphyllobothriidae. The record is from Rfam by way of RNAcentral.
GAGCCCGUGGCUCAAUAGUUAGAGCGUUGGACUUCUAAUCAACAGGUCGCGGGCUCA